CUAUUAAUUCAACAAAAAUAUAAAGGUAUAAAUUAGAAUAUAAAUGUUAAAAGGUGAUUUGAUGUUGCAUGUUUAUUCGAAAUAAACUUUUAACUAAAGAUCUUAGUACCACUCCACAGUUCGAAUUACCUGUCAUCAGGUAAUCAGGUGAGUGGUACCUUUUGCAUCCGAAAGAGAAUGCGUUAAGAAAAUGUUAAUACAAAGAAUAUAUACAAUAUAAAAUUGACUUAUAUAUCAUAUACAUCCGGUUAUAUCCGGUGUUCAAAUUUUGUAUGUUUGCAAGAUUUUAAUUUAUUUACGGCUGAGGUCAAAAUAUUAAAUUCUGCACUCGUUUUCAAAAGUUAUCUUCCCCUCUCGAGUUGCUUAAAAAAAAAGCGAAACUUAAAAAUUCUGCAAAUAAGAAAAUAUGAUUCAAAUUUACAAAAUUUUGCAUUUAUUCUUUUUUCGUAGUUCCUUAAAAACGAUAGAUAUUAAAUUUUGUAUUUAAUCAUCAUUUCAUCUUAAAUUUUGUAUUUAAUCAUUAUUUCAUGUUUCUGGCGAUAUAUUCCGGGAUGUGCUUUUUUUUUACAAGUUUUGCACUCGAUUAAGUUGAAUGGAAAUUGUUUUUGUUGCAUCACAGAUCUUGAUUGAAAAAAUUAUAAUUUGUUCAUAAAUGCUUGGCGUUCGUUUUAGGUUUAUUGUAGGACAUAUGCUUACUAAAAACUAAUAAGAAUAUAUUCGAAAGUAAAUAAGAUACAGUGGUGGUCCAGUAUAACGAAUGCCGAUAUAACGAAUGUUCGAUAUUACGAACACUUUUUUCAAGUCCAUUAGGUAUUCUAUAUAACGAGUAAAAAAAGGUGAGGAAUUUGAUUAGCAGGAUGAUAUUCCUCUAUCAGUUCUCCGUAAUCAAGACGAUAAUAUGAUUGUGUAGCAAAUACGGUGGCUUCUAUGAAAAGUAUUUUCUCAGAGACUGAAAUCCGAAUCAUAUCCGAAAUUUUGACAGUUGCAUCCAAUGGGCAGAACAAAAUGGAAUUGAAAAUUCUUAAGUCUUAGUUCUAAGAAGUUUACGGGCAGAGGCAUUUAAAUGAAGUUAUAUUAUAUAUGUUUUUUUUUAUUCUGUUAAGUGAAGUAUGUAAGAAUUGUUUUUUAGAAGUUUGAAAUAAAUUAAUGAUAGAUACAAAUGUACUUUCUAUUAACCUAAGGAUUUGUAUGAAAAAAAAAGUUUCGAUAUAACGAAUUAACUCUGGACAUUAUAUCGUUCGUUAUACUGGAAUACCAAUGUACUGAGACUAUUUAAAGGCAAAGUGUAAGCACUAGUUUACAGAUUUGGAAAACUAUAACAAAUGUUACUGAAAAAAAAGUACUUAUGAAUUUCCCAAGUAGCACGCAUUUCAAUUUUGGAACAAGUGAACUAAAAAACAUUCGCAUUACUUUAUAUUUUUCUUGAAACAACUAAAUUACUAAACAUUUCUAAAUAGUUUUUUUUUGUGAUCCUUAAAAACAGAUAAUAAAAGUUGCAAUAACAAAGCCUCAAAGGUAUAUUAUUUUCGAAUGUUAAAAAUUUUAAUCUUAAAAACCUGUCUUGUAAGAUUGAUCUUGAUGCUCAUCAAAAUCCUUGUUGACGUACGUUGAUCUUAUUUUGUUUCUUUGUAAAAUAAAUUGUCAAACUAUCCAUCACCCUCAUUAAUGAGGGCAAAACAAAGUACAUGCUGUCGUCAAGGAAGGACAUACAACACCGACGUCUUGGUCAAAACGUCACAAUCGACAGACGUAACUUUGAGGUAGUCAAGGACUUCAUCUACUUAGGCUCCGCUGUAAACGCAGAAAACAACACCAGCGCUGACAGGAAGACCUCCAAUCAGGUGGCGCGCACAAGUGGAAGGUGACCUCACCCAACCUGGAGCGCGAAACUGGAGACAUCUAGCUAGGGACCGAGCUAGAUAGAGAAGUUUGUUGGGUGAGGCCCUAGUUCACACAGGACUGUAGCGCCACCUUAAGUAAGUAAGUCAGUAAUCCAUCACCCCUGCGGUCUCUUCAAAAGCAAUGAUUUUAAUUGCUUUCAUAUUAAAUCUUAAAUUAAAGAAAAUACAAUUUUUAUUUUUCGUUUAUUUUAAAUCUUUCAGUCUAAAGGACAUACAGAGUUGAGUAAAAGUAGUAUUCCUUUGCAAUCCUCAUUUUUUUUACAAUAACGUACUCACGCAUAACAAGAACUCAUUUAAGAGUUUUAUAUUAAAAUGCUUUAUAACUAUUUU
Molecule: long non-coding RNA, 2231 nt
Organism: Eupeodes corollae
Lineage: Eukaryota; Metazoa; Arthropoda; Insecta; Diptera; Syrphidae
Exons: 2
Source: RefSeq, a predicted model, not a curated record